AGUGAACGCUGGCGGUAGGCCUAACACAUGCAAGUCGAACGGCAGCACAGUAAGAGCUUGCUCUUACGGGUGGCGAGUGGCGGACGGGUGAGGAAUACAUCGGAAUCUACUUUUUCGUGGGGGAUAACGUAGGGAAUCUUACGCUAAUACCGCAUACGACCUACGGGUGAAAGCAGGGGAUCUUCGGACCUUGCGCGAUUGAAUGAGCCGAUGUCGGAUUAGCUAGUUGGCGGGGUAAAGGCCCACCAAGGCGACGAUCCGUAGCUGGUGUGAGAGGAUGAUCAGCCACACUGGAACUGAGACACGGUCCAGACUCCUACGGGAGGCAGCAGUGGGGAAUAUUGGACAAUGGGCGCAAGCCUGAUCCAGCCAUACCGCGUGGGUGAAGAAGGCCUUCGGGUUGUAAAGCCCUUUUGUUGGGAAAGAAAAGCAGCAGGUUAAUACCCCGCUGUUCUGACGGUACCCAAAGAAUAAGCACCGGCUAACUUCGUG
Molecule: ribosomal RNA, 492 nt
Filed under: uncultured bacterium
Lineage: Bacteria
Description: partial 16S ribosomal RNA
Rfam family: Bacterial small subunit ribosomal RNA
Source: RNAcentral